Molecule: long non-coding RNA, 1171 nt
Organism: Chiroxiphia lanceolata (lance-tailed manakin)
Lineage: Eukaryota; Metazoa; Chordata; Aves; Passeriformes; Pipridae
Exons: 3
Source: RefSeq, a predicted model, not a curated record
AGGUGGGCUGCCAUUCACAGACAACAUAUCAGCCACCGCCGUCACUCAGAAGUGGCUUUUUUCCCUUUCCAGCUCUUUUGUCUUUCCUCCAGUUCAGCUUCAGUGAAGGCAGCUGGGCCCCAGUUUGUGAUUAAGUGAGGAUUCUUGGAGCCUGGAAGACAGAGUGCAAUACUUGAGAGGGCCAUUUCUGACAGGGAUGUUGCACACCCACCACAGGAGGAUUUGGAAAAUGCUGCCUCUUCUGUGACUGGUCACCUUCUCAAAGGAGACCCAAGGACCCGCCUGUCCAAGGAGGGAGGAAUGCCUGGGCUGCUGUCACUGAAGGUGCUUAGUGCAAGUCCUCCCUUGGCAGCAGUGUAUCUCACACACUUAUGUGUCUGGAUGGUGGCACCACAUCAGCACAGGAGACGGAUAAAGGACUGGAAAACAGCUAAGGAGGUUGGCUCUGCUAAGAGAAGAGCCACUACAACAAAGAAAGAUAACAGAAAAACUCAUUAUGCCUGACAAAGCCCUUGAAGAUUGAGAACCGGUUCUUUUGGAAAUUCCCAGUGUAGGUUAAUAGCAACUUUACUUUUUAUAUUUUUGUGUGUGCAUAAAUGUAAAAGAGGACACAGCAUAACAAAGCAAUAGUUCUCGAAUAUAUAAAAUGCAUAUGGAUUAUGCCUGAUUCAUUUUGCAUAUUCAUACAGCACGUACUGGCCUCAGGUUCUCUGUCUUUGAAAACUCCAAGAACCUCAGCCUGCAUUUAUCCUUCGAACAGUCAGGUUUUUUCCCAGUUUUCCAGUAACACUUAAGCCUUGAAAGCUAUACAAAUUGUAGCCAAGCUGUGCCAGUAUUUGAAUUCACCAGUAAAAAUAUUUUAGUCCUACAUCUCUAGUAAAUGCAACGCAGGUUGCAUUCUCCAGCCUCCAGCAAAAUCUGUGGAAUCUUUUCAGUGGCUCCUGUGAGGGAAGACCUUGCUGAAGGCACAGCUCACUGUGUGUAAUCAUAGCAAAAACCCACGUGCUCUGCUCACCAUUUUUUCUCUCUCCAGCUCCAAACUGAAGCGAUCUUGUAAUUCAACUUGAGUCUGAAGUCUUUUCUUCUCCUCCUCAGCAGCACGAGCAGCUGCUGCUUCCAGUUGCUGGAAGAGAAGGGUGUGGGGUGGGGGAGAAGAAAAGGAGGACAAAAA